This 381-nucleotide long non-coding RNA is filed under the name Bos mutus (wild yak). RNAcentral's name for it is "lncRNA (ENSBMUG00000009927.1)". Lineage: Eukaryota; Metazoa; Chordata; Mammalia; Artiodactyla; Bovidae. The record is from RNAcentral.
UACAAUUAAUACCCGGCGCCCGCCCGCCGCUCCGGGACUCGCGCGCCCGCUCUCGGGGAAGGAGGCGCUCGCUGGGCCCUGACCCUCUUCGCAACUCGUCUGCUCUUGCAGCUGUGGCGACGGAGCUCCGGACAGACCCUCUUGAGCCCCUCGCCGAGAGCCAGCUCGCGCAAGGACCAGUGUUCCACGCCCCCGCCACCCUCGUCACCGCGGGGAACUCUGCGCCGGCGGCCGGCAGGCAGGUGGGCGAGCGCGCCGGCCAGAUUCUAGCUACAUCAGAAACUGGUCAUUUUCUAAAACUAAAGGAGAAAACUAGGAAGGGGUGAUGAAUUCUUUCUGAGUUUCGAGUUACAAAAUAAAACGUAAGUAUUGAUGAUUUCA